This 441-nucleotide ribosomal RNA is filed under the name uncultured bacterium. RNAcentral describes it as "partial 16S ribosomal RNA". It matches the Rfam family "Bacterial small subunit ribosomal RNA", at positions 338 to 795 of the family's 1533-position model. The record is from RNAcentral.
CCUACGGGUGGCAGCAGUGGGGAAUAUUGCACAAUGGGGGAAACCCUGAUGCAGCGACGCCGCGUGAGUGAAGAAGUAUUUCGGUAUGUAAAGCUCUAUCAGCAGGGAAGAAGAAAGCCGGUACCUGACUAAGAAGCCCAGGCUAACUACGGCCCAGCAACCCGGGUAAAACGUAGGGGGCAAGCGUUAUCCGGAUUUACUGGGUGUAAAGGGAGGGUAGACGGCGGUGCAAGUCUGAAUUGAAAGCCCAGGGCUCAACCCUGGGACUGCUUUGGAAACUGUUGGGCUAGAGUGCUGGAGAGGUAAGUGGAAUUCCUAGUGUAGCGGUGAAAUGCGUAGAGAUUAGGAGGAACACCAGUGGCGAAGGCGGCCUACUGGACAGUAACUGACGUUGAGGCUCGAAAGCGUGGGGAGCAAACAGGAUUAGAUACCCUUGUAGUC